GUGAUGAGCCUUACAAGGGCUGAGCUAUGAUGUCCUGGAUCCUUGCUGAUA
Molecule: unclassified non-coding RNA, 51 nt
Filed under: Sulfolobus acidocaldarius DSM 639
Lineage: Archaea; Thermoproteati; Thermoproteota; Thermoprotei; Sulfolobales; Sulfolobaceae
Description: noncoding RNA Sac-sR24
Source: RNAcentral